GACGAACGCUGGCGGCGUGCUUAACACAUGCAAGUCGAGCGGAAAGGCCCUUCGGGGUACUCGAGCGGCGAACGGGUGAGUAACACGUGAGUAACCUGCCCUGGACUUUGGGAUAACCCUCGGAAACGGGGGCUAAUACCGGAUACGACACACAGCUGCAUGGUUUGUGUGUGGAAAGUUUUUCGGUCUGGAUGGGCUCGCGGCCUAUCAGCUUGUUGGUGGGGUGAUGGCCUACCAAGGCGACGACGGGAGCCGGCCUGAGAGGGCGACCGGCCACACUGGGACUGAGACACGGCCCAGACUCCUACGGGAGGCAGCAGUGGGGAAUAUUGCACAAUGGGCGGAAGCCUGAUGCAGCGACGCCGCGUGAGGGAUGACGGCCUUCGGUUG
Molecule: ribosomal RNA, 390 nt
Filed under: uncultured bacterium
Lineage: Bacteria
Description: bacterial SSU rRNA
Rfam family: Bacterial small subunit ribosomal RNA
Source: RNAcentral